CAUGGAUAACUGUGGUAAUUCUAGAGCUAAUACAUGCACAAAAAGCACGACUCUCUACUGAGAAGUGCUGCGUUUAUUAGACCAAGACCAAUGGGUGCUUGCACCCUCAAAACUGUGGUGACUCUGGAUAACUAAUGGCGUAAAAACCAUGAUGCUGACCCUAUGGCCCGUGGGCAACCACACAGCGCCGAGGGCAAAUCAUUCGAGUGUCUGAUCUAUCAACUGUCGAUGGUAAAUUAUAUGUUUACCAUGGUUAUAACGGGUAACGGGGAGUUAGGGCUCGACUCCGGAGAGCAAGCCUGAGAAACGGCUAGCACAUCCAAGGAAGGCAGCAGGCGCGCAAAUUACUCUAAUGGUCGCCGACCGAAGUAGUGAAGAUAAAUAACGAUGUAGGUUCUUAUUAUAGGAUCUACAAUUGGAAUGAGUACACCGUAAAUACGUUAACGAGUACCAAUUGGAGGGCAAGUCUGGUGCCAGCAGCCGCGGUAAUUCCAGCUCCAAUAGCGUAUAUUAAAGUUGCUGCGGUUAAAAAGCUCGUAGUUGGAUUUCAGACCUUUUGCUAGCAAAGCUUCACUAUCAACGUUUAUCGGUUGUAUGUACGCAAGUGCCUCUGCAAUCAUAAUCGGGUGUUAGCUCAUUGCUAGCUGGUCGGUUCGUCACUUUUUAUUAAAGGACGGAGCAAGCUGUAUCAUGUUUCUGGAUGUUUGGAUAUUUUUAUAUCCUCUCACUCCUAGUGGUCAGCAAGUUUACCUUGAGAAAAUUAGAGUGCUCAAAGCAGACACCGCGGGUCGAAAGGCUUGCAUUUAUGUCUGAAUAAUGUUGCAUGGAAUAAUAGAAUAUGGCCUCGGUUCUAUUCUGUUGGUCUUGUAGAACAACAAACAAGUUCACGUGUUCAAAUCAUGUUGCUAGCAUGGUGGAUUACUGCUCUUACGCUUUUGGUUUAUCAACUUGCCUAGUGUUAUCAUGCUCUUCGGGUAUGCAUCGCGGGUAGUUGUAAGCUUUUGAAAAGGCAUAAAAGCGUACUCCCGAAUGUGAAAGCCAUGUUAGUCAACACGAACACGUGAAUCGAGGCAAUGGUUAAUAGGGACAGACGGGGGCAUUCGUACUGCUUCGCUAGAGGUGAAAUUCUUAGACCGAAGCAAGACGAACUAAAGCGAAAGCAUUUGCCUAGAAUGUUCUCAUUAAUCAAGAACGAAAGUUAGAGGUUCGAAGGCGAUCAGAUACCGCCCUAGUUCUAACCAUAAACGAUGCCAACUAGCAAUCAGGCUGAGUUUUUUAAAAUACAAAUGACUCGCCUGGCGGCUUCGCGGGAAACCAAAGUUUUUCGGUUCCGGGGGAAGUAUGAUUGCAAAGUUGAAACUUAAAGGAAUUGACGGAAGGGCACCACCAGGGGUGGAGCCUGCGGCUUAAUUUGACUCAACACGGGGAAACUUACUAGAUUAGAACGCUGGAAUGAUUGACAGAUUAAAAGCUCUUUCUUGAUUCAGCGAGUGGUGGUGCAUGGCCGUUCUUGAUUCGUAGAAUGAUUCGUCUGCUUAAUUGCGAUAACGAGUGAGACCUCGACCUACUAACUAGUUUGCUUCAUCAUUUGGGAUAUCAAACGCCUUGCGUAUUUAGUGCCCGAUGGCGUGUGUGAAAGCAUGCGUUCGUUUGGUAUGUUGGUACGUAGGGUAGGCCCUCUGCUGGAGCAAGACUUCUUAGCGGGAUAAACGGUGUUUUAGCCGUAAUAAAUGAGGCAAUAACAGGUCUGUGAUGCCCUUAGAUACUCUAGGCCGCACGCGUGCUACACUGGUAGAGGCAGCAUGCUUAAUUUGAACAAUUGCCUCGAAGUUCUACCUUGCUUCGUAUGUGGCUCUCUGUGUGAGGGUGAAAGCCUGAGCAUAGGGGACGCGUGCGCUUGCUUUGGUGUGAGUCGGGGAUUUAUUGUUUGAAAAAACCUUGGCUGAAAAGCCUGGGCAAUCCUAUCAAACUUUACCGUGAUUUGGGAUUGGGAAUUGCAAUUGUUUUCCAUGAACGAGGAAUCCCCAGUAAGCGCAAU
RNAcentral lists this ribosomal RNA (2038 nucleotides) under Neoprothrix hibiscus. RNAcentral describes it as "partial small subunit ribosomal RNA". It matches the Rfam family "Eukaryotic small subunit ribosomal RNA", at positions 138 to 1627 of the family's 1831-position model. The record is from RNAcentral. Lineage: Eukaryota; Metazoa; Arthropoda; Arachnida; Trombidiformes; Phytoptidae.